CGAGAAAGCCCGCAAGGGUGAGUAAAGCGGCGCACGGGUGCGUAACACGUGGAUAAUCUGCCCUGGAGUCCGGAACAACUCGCCGAAAGGCGAGCUAAUGCCGGAUGAGACCACGGGGGCUUCGGCCCCUGGGGGAAAAGGUGGCCUCUGUACACAAGCUAUCGCUUCAGGAUGAGUCCGCGGCCCAUCAGCUAGUUGGCGGGGUAAUGGCCCACCAAGGCGACGACGGGUAGCUGGUCUGAGAGGACGAUCAGCCACACUGGAACUGAGACACGGUCCAGACUCCUACGGGAGGCAGCAGUGGGGAAUCUUGCGCAAUGGGCGAAAGCCUGACGCAGCAACGCCGCGUGUGUGAUGAAGGUCUUCGGAUCGUAAAGCACUGUCGCGAGGGACG
This 394-nucleotide ribosomal RNA is filed under the name uncultured Anaeromyxobacter sp. RNAcentral's name for it is "bacterial SSU rRNA". It matches the Rfam family "Bacterial small subunit ribosomal RNA", at positions 67 to 447 of the family's 1533-position model. Lineage: Bacteria; Pseudomonadati; Myxococcota; Myxococcia; Myxococcales; Anaeromyxobacteraceae. The record is from RNAcentral.